CCUACGGGUGGCAGCAGUGAGGAAUAUUGGUCAAUGGACGAGAGUCUGAACCAGCCAAGUAGCGUGAAGGAUGACUGCCCUGUGGAUUGUAAACUUCUUUUAUCAAGGAAUAAAACGAGGCACGUGUGCCUUUUUGCAUGUACUUUAUGAAUAAGGAUCGGCUAACUCCGUGCCAGCAGCCGCGGUAAUACGGAGGAUCCGAGCGUUAUCCGGAUUUAUUGGGUUUAAAGGGAGCGUAGAUGGGUUGUUAAGUCAGUUGUGAAAGGUUGCGGCUCAACCGUAAAAUUGCGAUUGAUACUGGCAGUCUUGAGUAGAGUUGAGGUAGGCGGAAUGCGUGGUGUAGCGGUGAAAUGCUUAGAUAUCACGAAGAACCCCGAUUGCGAAGGCAGCUUACCAACCUGUGACUGACAUUGAUGCUCGAAAGUGUGGGUAUCAAACAGGAUUAGAUACCCCAGUAGUC
Molecule: ribosomal RNA, 460 nt
Filed under: uncultured bacterium
Lineage: Bacteria
Description: partial 16S ribosomal RNA
Rfam family: Bacterial small subunit ribosomal RNA
Source: RNAcentral